This 253-nucleotide ribosomal RNA is filed under the name uncultured bacterium. Its description in RNAcentral is "partial 16S ribosomal RNA". It matches the Rfam family "Bacterial small subunit ribosomal RNA", at positions 524 to 776 of the family's 1533-position model. The record is from RNAcentral.
UACGAAGGGGGCUAGCGUUGUUCGGAAUUACUGGGCGUAAAGCGCGCGCAGGCGGUCUUCCAAGUCAGUGGUGAAAGCCUGGAGCUCAACUCCAGAACUGCCAUUGAAACUGUUGGACUUGAGUACGAGAGAGGUGAGUGGAAUUCCCAGUGUAGAGGUGAAAUUCGUAGAUAUUGGGAAGAACACCAGUGGCGAAGGCGGCUCACUGGCCCGGUACUGACGCUGAGGUGCGAAAGCGUGGGGAGCAAACAGG